Molecule: transfer RNA, 76 nt
Filed under: Bradyrhizobium barranii subsp. barranii
Lineage: Bacteria; Pseudomonadati; Pseudomonadota; Alphaproteobacteria; Hyphomicrobiales; Nitrobacteraceae
Description: Bradyrhizobium sp. 144S4 tRNA-Val
Source: RNAcentral
GCUCCCGUCGCCAAGCGGUUAAGGCAUCGGCCCUACACGCCGACAUGCGCUCGUUCGAUCCGAGCCGGGAGUACCA